CCUACGGGAGGCAGCAGUGAGGAAUAUUGGUCAAUGGGCUCACGCCUGAACCAGCCAAGUCGCGUGAGUGAAGACUGCCCUAUGGGUUGUAAACCUCUUUUUUCAGGGAGUAAUUUGCGCUACGUGUAGUGUUAUCUAGAGUACCUGAAGAAAAAGCAUCGGCGAACUCCGCGCCAGCAGCCGCGGUAAUACGGAGGAUGCGAGCGUUAUCCGGUUUUAUUGGUUUUAACGGGUGCGUAGGCGGUAUGCCAAGUCAGCGUGAAAAUCGCGGGGCUCAACGUCGCUCCGCCGUUGAUACUGGUGUUGUUGAGUGGGCGAGAGGUAUGCGGAAUGCGUGGUGUAGCGGGGAAAUGCAGAGA
This 359-nucleotide ribosomal RNA is filed under the name uncultured bacterium. Its description in RNAcentral is "partial 16S ribosomal RNA". It matches the Rfam family "Bacterial small subunit ribosomal RNA", at positions 338 to 694 of the family's 1533-position model. The record is from RNAcentral.